AACGAACGCUGGCGGCAUGCCUAACACAUGCAAGUCGAACGAGACCUUCGGGUCUAGUGGCGCACGGGUGCGUAACGCGUGGGAACCUGCCCUUAGGUUCGGAAUAACUCCCCGAAAGGGGUGCUAAUACCGGAUAAUGUCUUCGGACCAACGAUUUAUCGCCUUUGGAUGGGCCCGCGUUGGAUUAGCUGGUUGGUAGGGUACAAGCCUACCAAGGCGACGAUCCAUAGCUGGUCGGAGAGGAUGAUCAGCUACACUGGGACUGAGACACGGCCCAGACUCCUACGGGAGGCAGCAGUGGGGAAUAUUGGACAAUGGGCGAAGGCCUGAUCCAGCAAUGCCGCGUGAGUGAUGAAGGCCUUAGGGUUGUAAAGCUCUUUUACCCGGGAUGAUAAUGACAGUACCGGGAGAAUAAGCUCCGGCUAACUCCGUG
This 433-nucleotide ribosomal RNA is filed under the name uncultured bacterium. RNAcentral's name for it is "partial 16S ribosomal RNA". It matches the Rfam family "Bacterial small subunit ribosomal RNA", at positions 29 to 507 of the family's 1533-position model. The record is from RNAcentral.